GGGACGGAACCGGCAGGGCGGCCCCGGGCCGGGCGGCACCGAGCGGGACACGGGAGCGCAGCGGAGCGGAGCGACGAGACGGCGGGGGCUGUCAACGCUGCCCGGCGGCGAUACGGCGCUGAAACUGAGCCUCAACUUGCCGCAGGAAGGAUGGCAACACCGGCGGAGCUUCGGAGCUGCCCAAGGAGCCGGGGAGCCUCGGUUUUGUGCGCCGCGGUCUAAUACGUGGGAGUAAAAUGGAAUUUCUCACCUGGGUUUUUCCUGCCUUGGUCCUGCUGUGCACCCAGCAGCACAGGUGCAUCAGAGCUAUGACUGACAUUGGAGAUUACAUAGGCUCCAACAUCGAAAUAUCCUGGUUACCCAACCUGGAUGAUCUGAUGAAAGGCUACGCACGUAAUUUCAGGCCUGGGAUUGGAGGUCCUCCUGUUAACGUUGCUCUUGCAAUUGAAGUAGCCAGCAUUGACCACAUCUCAGAAGUGAACAUGGAAUACACCAUGACAGUAUUUCUGCACCAGAGCUGGCGGGACGACCGCCUGUCCUACAACCACACCAAUGAGACCCUGGGGCUGGACAGCCGCUUUGUGGACAAGCUGUGGUUGCCAGAUACUUUCAUAGUGAACGCCAAGUCUGCCUGGUUCCAUGACGUGACUGUGGAAAACAAACUGAUCAGGCUCCAGCCAGAUGGAGUCAUCUUAUACAGCAUAAGGAUUACCUCAACAGUGGCAUGUGACAUGGACCUCUCCAAGUACCCGAUGGAUGAGCAGGAAUGCAUGUUGGACUUGGAGAGCUAUGGUUACUCUUCAGAGGACAUCGUCUACCACUGGUCAGAAAACCAGGAUGAGAUCCAUGGGCUGGAUAAGCUGCAGCUUGCUCAAUUCACAAUUACUAACUACCAGUUUACAACAGAACUGAUGAACUUCAAAUCUGCAGGGCAGUUUCCCAGGCUGAGUCUCCACUUCCACCUCCGACGAAAUCGAGGUGUUUACAUCAUUCAGUCCUACGUCCCUUCUAUCUUGCUCGUGGCCAUGUCCUGGGUGUCCUUCUGGAUCAGCCAGUCAGCUGUGCCUGCCAGGGUGUCCUUAGGCAUAACCACUGUUCUUACAAUGACUACACUGAUGGUCAGUGCCCGCUCUUCGCUUCCACGAGCAUCUGCCAUCAAGGCACUUGAUGUUUACUUCUGGAUAUGCUACGUGUUUGUCUUCGCUGCACUGGUAGAAUACGCUUUUGCACAUUUCAAUGCUGACUACAUGAAAAAGCAGAAGAACAAGAUCAAAGCGAGAAGGCAGAGUGGAGAGAUAAACGUGAAGAAUGCCAUUGUUCUGUUCUCCCUCUCCAUCGCUGGUGUGAACCAGGAGCUGGCCAUUUCCAACAGGCACCACCGAAUGCCCAGAAGUCUGCCUGGAUCAUAUGGCACAAUAGAAAUAGAGACUGGAGAGACUAAACGGCAGCAAGAGAUGAAACUGGAUAAAAAGAGUGGUCUGAAAUCCCUCUUUAAGCCCAUUGAUGCUGACACCAUCGAUAUAUAUGCCAGAGCAGUGUUCCCAGCAGCCUUUGCAGCAGUCAAUGUUAUAUACUGGGUUGCCUACACUAUGUAAAAAGCCCAGAACUUUGUGAAGAGCCAAGAAUUGAACAGUACCUACACACUAAACAGUCCUUGCUGAAACUGUACUGUGCCAUCUCUUCUCAAAAUAUUUUCCAGUGACCUUGAGGCAUUUCUAGUCAAGAAACUCCUGCAAUCAAUUCCUACUAAAGCAGCAAGAAAAACAGUUUGUUACCAAUCUGAUUUGAUACAUUAAGGACUGUACUCUGCUCAACAAUCCCAGCUCCUUUUGUUUCCUCUCUUACCAUGAGAAAACAUUUCAUAUGUACAUAACAGCAGAAGUUUAAGUCUUGAACUACCAUGUUCUUUCUCCACCUGAAGCAUUGGUUGUUCCAAACCUAGAGAAAGAAGAUGCAACAGAAAAUAUUACAUGAGAGAAGGAGGGAAUGAGUGAGGCUAAGGAGAUGGCUGAAAGCUGUGGAAGGGAGCAUGGGGAGGUGCAAGAUGAAAUAGGACACAAGAUGUAAAUGAGAGAAGAGCAGUGCUGGGCUUGGAAGAUGGGCAUGGCUGAUGGAAUUGCAAGGAGGAGGAAACAAGCAUUGGCUCACGUAUCCCUCCCACCUUACCUAUCUGUGACACACGGCUCAAUUUCAUAUGACCAGAACUGAAAGAGCAUUUUAAGGCAAAUUUAUGACUUCAAAAGAGAUUUGCUCAAUAUCAGCUAAGUAAGAGAAUGCACUGAAGAAAAAUUAAUGAUCCUGAAGUGAGCUAUGAUAUGAACUAUGAUCCCAUCGUAAGUCAGGCUGAGGAUCACGUGGAUUAUUUCUGUUCUACUGGAAACAUUUUCAGCCAUGUGCUGGAAGGUGCAAACCAUCACCCAGCUAUGUUUUUUCCAGAAAGUUCUCAUCAGUCUGGCCCUGGACUGAGACACCUGGAUUUUGCACUAAGUUCUUGCCACUGAUGUGAGGAUGAACCUUCCUGGAGUCAUUUCAUUGCAUCAUCUGCAAGACGGGUAUAAUUAUACUGAUUUCUUUACUAAGCCUUUGAGAUCUACAGAAGCAAAAUCCUUUUGAGAGACACAGAAACUGUCAGGCUCCAACUAGAUACGUGCACUCAAAGUGUACAGCAGCUGGUUAUUCAGGGUAAUUAGUGAGAAAGUGGCUGCAUACAUUCUAAAGGCAAUGUCUAAUCUAAUUACUUCAGCAGUAAGAGUCUGCAGUUGUGCACCUGACACAAGUCCUUACCCUGAAGUCAACUGAGGUGAUCACAGAGGGUUAUUGGACAAAAUUAGCUGCUUCUCCACCUGGGUGCCAGUCACUGGCUGCACACCCUGCUGGCUUCUUCAUAAGGUUUAUUCAAUGCAUUGUUCUGUAUUUGUUUGCAGACCUUCAAGCUGCACAGCUAUUUGUGACUGAUCAAGGUAAAGGGUGGCUACGGUCUUUCCCUCAAAAAAACCCACAAACCUAACAACAAAAACCACCAAAACCACCACCCAGGACAAAACAAAACAAAGAACACCAAAACCAAAACCAGAAUGCUAGGCUGUCACAUAAAAAAGCAUAAAAAAAAAGGAGGGGGAAACCUCAGGAUAUUUCAGGAAGUCAGAAUGUGAGAAUACAUGUGGCAGCUGUGUCCACUCCAGGAAUGAGGUGACUCAGAGGGGAGAACAGGCGUCCCUGCUGCUGCAGUUGCAGAGCAGCACAAGGCAGAACAACUCCAUUGUGAAGUUACAGUUUUUGAAAUGUGUUUCCACAGCCAGAAAUAAAACAGAUGCCUUCCAGAUUCUUUUACAGGAGGGAUGUUAGUACAGGAGUACUGUGUCAUUAUUGGAAUUUUGAAUAAAACUGAAGCUUCUGUACAUUUGAGAUUGUUCCACAUUUUUGAUUUUUUUUUUCACAUUUGAAAACCAUUAUAUAUUAUUAAUAUCUGAGGACAAUGCCCUAAUCAACUCUAUUUUUAUGGCACACUUAAUAAACAGAAAUAAAUAAGCUAAAUCUGAUGUCACUGGAAAGCUAGCAAGCUUUGGAUGGGUUGUGCUAAUAUCAGGAAGGAAAUACAUAUAUAAUAUAUAUAUGAGGGCUGUACCUGGAAGAAUUUGUAUUCCUUUCAUCAAAGUAGAGUACUGCUCUAAAAUCCUGGUGUGUCUGUGAGAAGGAAAGAGGGAUACGUAUUAAUGUAAUCAUUCUCAAUGUGAAGUGUGAAUAAAGCAUAGUUUGUACAGAAGUUGUAGCUCCCAUAAAAUGGACAAAGCAGACAUUCCAGCUACUGAACCGAAAGAUAAAAGACAUUACAAGGAAAAUCAAAAUAACCUCAGGGAUUUCAUCCCAUAAUGAAGUCUUGCCUUUUCAGCACCCAGAGGCUCAUAAAACUCUCAUUUGGCCUCGACAACAGAAGAGAAAGGACCAUUCUGUACUCAUGAGUGCUUUCUGUGGGGCUCUUCUGCAGACUACUGAAUUUAUAUUAAAAAAUAGCUGUUGCUACCUAAAGAGGUUGAAAAGAAACAAGGCACAAGAAGAACAAGGCGUUGCACCAUUAGUUUGAAAGACAUGCUUGCAGUGACAGCACUGUUAAAAGGUUAAUAUACAGAUAAGCCUGUCCUGUUUCUGGGCAAGAAGGAAGCAUUUAUUCAAGGUAAAGUAAAAGCUCUCACAUCAGUUCUUAACAGGGUUCCUAAUCCAACAGAUAAUGUAGCGAAACCAAUUUAACUCAAUGAGGCUUCUGCUGUUGGUACAACAAAGCACUUAAUAUGAACACUCUCAUUUUAAAUAUUCAGUCAUUAACCUAAGAAAGCACUUCACAUUAAGAGGAAAACAGCACCCCGUGCGGAUCUGCCUGUGCAGCAGAACAGAUAACAAAUGAUUAAUGAAAGUUUCGUAGGAUAUUUAUUAAAAUAAAAACCUCGGUCUCCCCUGCGCUCUCUUGGUUGUAAGGCUUAAAACACUUGCAAAGGUUGUUUGAUGAUACAGUAACACUGUGUGCAACGUGUUACAAGCACACCUAGCUAGCUCUUCCUAAUAAGACUGAACAAUUCUGGCAAUGGAUGUGUAUCUAUUUGGAAAAAUUUGGCAGCUGAAAUGCAAGCCACUGCCUCUUUCUGCUGUUGUAGCUUGUGUCUUAAAUGAAAAGACUUUGAAGACCUAAGCUCAUGGUUACAUAAUGCAUUAAGGAUCUGUCCUCUCCUUAUACAAGCUUUAUGUCAUGGCUAUUCCUUUUACUAAGUCAUGCACAGUUAAAAACAAAUCCGAGCAGACAGCAAAGUGCGCUCUGUCAGAAAACACAGCACCAACAGAGCUGAUCAGAUGUUACUGGAGUUCCCUGUUCAGCAAAACGGUGGUCCAAAAAAAGAGCUCCAAACGUUCCUGAUCUCUCAGGUAUCUAAAAACUUCUGGUCGCUGCAGAUGUAGGACCAACCAACGCACAGCAGUGACUAAUGCUAUUGAAGCAAAGACUUCUCUGCCCACAGGUCCAGCCUCCAUCUUUUGGUAUAAAGCCUGUCAUGGAUCUCCUACAUACCUUCACCUUUUCCUGAGAUGAAAAGAGUACUGGAAUUACCUUUGCUAGCAUAAAUAUCAUGAAGUCCUCAAUUUUCAUGCACCGGGUAACCAGAUGGGGUGAAGAGGACAUUUUUCUUUACAAUAUAAUGAAUAAUUGGCCAGCUGGGAACAGACAUGGCUGGAAGCUGCACACAAACACAUAGUCCACUGGGUUAUGCCAGAAUUAGAAUUACCACAGUCCUCUAAGAUUAAAUAAAGAUUGAACGAUGGAAUACAGAGUAAUCUGUAAAACAUCUGGCACAACACUCCAUCCAGGCUGUUCUUCCUUUGUCGCUGUUUCUUUCAGAGUGAGACAAACACACAAGAUCUAUUUCUGUACAUCCUACCAUAGUUUUUAGAUACCUACGUAGGAUUUCCCAGCCCUUAUCUUUCCAGGUUAUAUGUACAACUAAUAUAUAUACACAUACAUGAGCUUGAAUAUUUGGAAGCCAGAAGGAUUCUUCAUAUAUUUUGUACACGAUAUCACAUAUCAUACUUUUAAAGUGAACUUCUCCUUUACAAAGAACAAACAUUUAACAAGUCUGCUACAAGUACGUUUAGAUUGCCUCCAGUGGUGUUUCUGGGCACUCUCAGUGAGGGAUUCAUCAGACACUUUCAGGAUGUGGAAUACACCGCAUUAAGAGCGAUCGCCUUUCAUUCCAACUGAAUGGUGGCUGGACCAACAAUGAGAAUUCAGAAAAGCUUAAUUAGUCUGGCCCAAGAAAAGCAAAACAAAAUAAGACUCUAGAAGAACCAAGGUGAAAAUUUGAUCCCCAGGGUUUGUUUUUUUGAUUUAAAUUUUUUUUUAUCAUUUUCUUCCAUGCUCUGAAUCAACAGUUCCAAGUCUUCAGUGGCAGAAACACUCAUUUCCUUUCUUCUACACUUUCACUGUCACCUUCCAGAAGGGGAAUUUGUUUCUGAAGGAUUAGGAUCAGGGUAUGCAGUGAGAAAAAAGAUUUACAGUACACUGUCUGCUGGUGUUCACACGCAAAAGGGAGACAGGUUAAAAAUAUGUUUCCACAGAGACGGGCUGUCGAAAUAUCUUGGAAAAAUAAAUAUAGAAGCAUACAGGUUUGGUUUAAUUUAUUUUAAAUGCAUGUAGCUUGGUCUACCCAUAGAAUCCUUCCUGAAACUCCAGGUCAAGAUAAGUGAGUUAGCUUCUGGGUGCUUCCAUUUUGCAUGAAAGAGACAAGUAAGGAGAUUGUCUUAAAGCAGCCUUGAAAAAUCAUUCAUUUUGUCUAUUUUAAGAGGCUAACCAACAAGUGAGAAAAUCAAUAAAGAACAACCACAGUGA
This is an RNA transcript of Tympanuchus pallidicinctus (lesser prairie-chicken), 6367 nucleotides long. It is a transcript of the gene named gamma-aminobutyric acid type A receptor subunit delta, with no coding region annotated. Lineage: Eukaryota; Metazoa; Chordata; Aves; Galliformes; Phasianidae. The record is from RefSeq and is a predicted model, not a curated record. The transcript has 10 exons.